CACACGCGAAGAUGAAAAGUGUUAGAAUUGGUGCUUCAACGAAGACAAUGUGCGUGCUCGUCAAUAAAUGAAUGAUUUUUUCGGACUGAUGUGAUCCAGUAACUUCUGAUGUGUUUCCUGUUACUUAUUAGUAUUAAAUAUUAUUUUUUUUUAAAAUCUACAUUAAUAAGUAAUUAAUUAGAAUAGUAAAAGAUGAAUGCUGGGCU
Molecule: long non-coding RNA, 206 nt
Filed under: Elaeis guineensis (African oil palm)
Lineage: Eukaryota; Viridiplantae; Streptophyta; Magnoliopsida; Arecales; Arecaceae
Description: long non-coding RNA (EGUI_LNC017757)
Source: RNAcentral